RNAcentral lists this ribosomal RNA (437 nucleotides) under uncultured Methanosaeta sp. RNAcentral describes it as "bacterial SSU rRNA". It matches the Rfam family "Archaeal small subunit ribosomal RNA", at positions 906 to 1338 of the family's 1478-position model. Lineage: Archaea; Methanobacteriati; Methanobacteriota; Methanomicrobia; Methanotrichales; Methanotrichaceae. The record is from RNAcentral.
AUUUACCAACGGACCCGGAAAAUUCCGUUACCGGGGCCGACAGCAAUAUGAAGGCCAGGCUGAAGACUUUGCCGGAUUAGCUGAGAGGUGGUGCAUGGCCGUCGUCAGUUCGUACUGUGAAGCAUCCUGUUAAGUCAGGCAACGAGCGAGACCCACGCCCACAGUUGCCAGCGUACUCUCUGGAGUGACGGGUACACUGUGGGACCGCCGCUGCUAAAGCGGAGGAAGGAAUGGGCAACGGUAGGUCAGUAUGCCCCGAAUAUCCCGGGCUACACGCGAGCUACAAUGGUUGGUACAAUGGGUAUCUACCCGAAAGGGGACGGGAAUCUCCUAAAACCAAUCUUAGUUCGGAUUGAGGGCUGCAACUCGCCCUCAUGAAGCUGGAAUCCGUAGUAAUCGCGUUUCAACAGAACGCGGUGAAUACGUCCCUGCUCCUU